This 222-nucleotide unclassified non-coding RNA is filed under the name Hevea brasiliensis (rubber tree). The record is from RNAcentral. Lineage: Eukaryota; Viridiplantae; Streptophyta; Magnoliopsida; Malpighiales; Euphorbiaceae.
GGAGAAUGAUAGAAGACCACAGCAGAGGCGGAAAUUUCAAGAGCUACCGGUUACUCCUAAAGAGCCAGCAAAUCGUAUCCAGAACUCACGACAGGACGAAUUUCUUAAGCCAGGUUCAGUGGAUUUGAAUGCAAGGAACAUUUCGUCCAUGCCACCACCCAAGAAGUUGUGCUCGCCUUCUUCAGAUGGCAUGCCGCCUCCGCCUCCAAGGAACAUGCCGCC